AACGAACGCUGGCGGCAUGCCUAACACAUGCAAGUCGAACGCGUGUAGCAAUACACGAGUGGCGCACGGGUGAGUAACGCGUGGGAACCUGCCCAGUGGUAGGGAAUAACUGCGGGAAACUGCAGCUAAUACCCUAUACGCCCUACGGGGAAAGGUUUUUCGUCCAUUGGAGGGGCCCGGCGUCGGAUUAGCUAGUUGGUGAGGUAAGAGCUUACCAAGGCGACGAUCCGUAGCUGGUCUGAGAGGAUGAUCAGCCACACUGGGAC
This 266-nucleotide ribosomal RNA is filed under the name uncultured bacterium. RNAcentral's name for it is "partial 16S ribosomal RNA". It matches the Rfam family "Bacterial small subunit ribosomal RNA", at positions 29 to 319 of the family's 1533-position model. The record is from RNAcentral.